UGGGGAAUAUUGCACAAUGGGCGCAAGCCUGAUGCAGCCAUGCCGCGUGUAUGAAGAAGGCCUUCGGGUUGUAAAGUACUUUCAGCGGGGAGGAAGGGAGUAAAGUUAAUACCUUUGCUCAUUGACGUUACCCGCAGAAGAAGCACCGGCUAACUCCGUGCCAGCAGCCGCGGUAAUACGGAGGGUGCAAGCGUUAAUCGGAAUUACUGGGCGUAAAGCGCACGCAGGCGGUCUGUCAAGUCGGAUGUGAAAUCCCCGGGCUCAACCUGGGACCUGCAUUCGAAACUGGCAGGCUAGAGUCUUGUAGAGGGGGAUAGAAUUCCAGGUGUAGCGGUGAAAUGCGUAGAGAUCUGGAGGAAUACCGGUGGCGAAGGCGGCCCCCUGGACAAAGACUGACGCUCAGGUGCGAAAGCGUGGGGAGCAAACAGG
Molecule: ribosomal RNA, 429 nt
Filed under: Chloroflexota bacterium
Lineage: Bacteria; Bacillati; Chloroflexota
Description: Chloroflexi bacterium partial 16S ribosomal RNA
Rfam family: Bacterial small subunit ribosomal RNA
Source: RNAcentral